This 65-nucleotide transfer RNA is filed under the name Downesia tarsata. RNAcentral describes it as "tRNA-Met". The record is from RNAcentral. Lineage: Eukaryota; Metazoa; Arthropoda; Insecta; Coleoptera; Chrysomelidae.
AAAAAGAUAAGCUAAUUAAGCUACUGGGUUCAUACCCCAUUUAUGACAAACCAUGUCUCUUUUUA